UACGAAGGGGGCUAGCGUUGCUCGGAAUGACUGGGCGUAAAGGGCGCGUAGGCGGUGAGUACAGUCAGACGUGAAAUUCCCGGGCUCAACCUGGGGGCUGCGUUUGAUACGUGCUUGCUUGAGUUCGGAAGAGGGUCGUGGAAUUCCCAGUGUAGAGGUGAAAUUCGUAGAUAUUGGGAAGAAACACCGGUGGCGAAGGCGGCGACCUGGUCCGAUACUGACGCUGAGGCGCGAAAGCGUGGGGAGCAAACAGG
RNAcentral lists this ribosomal RNA (254 nucleotides) under uncultured bacterium. RNAcentral describes it as "partial 16S ribosomal RNA". It matches the Rfam family "Bacterial small subunit ribosomal RNA", at positions 524 to 776 of the family's 1533-position model. The record is from RNAcentral.